AUGGGUUUUUCCGCCCCGGUCCCGCUGCCCGGCGGCUCCAUCUGGCGGCAGCCGCACCUCGGGAGAGCCCGCAGCUGCUCCUGGGUCCGGGGAGAGCCCGCAGCUCCUCCUGGGUCCGGGGAGAGCCCGCGGCUCCUCCUGGGUCUGGGGAGAGCCCGCAGCUCCUCCUGGGUCUGGGGAAAACCCGCAGCUGCUCCUGGGUCUGGGGAGAGCCCGCAGCUCCUCCUGGGUCUGGGGAAAACCCGCAGCUGCUCCUGGGUCUGGGGAGAGCCCGCAGCUGCUCCUGGGUCUGGGGAGAGCCCGCAGCUGCUCCUGGGUCUGGGGAGAGCCCGCAGCUGCUCCUGGGUCUGGGGAGAGCCCGCAGCUGCUCCUGGGUCUGGGGAGAGCCCGCAGCUGCUCCUGGGUCUGGGGAGAGCCCGCAGCUGCUCCUGGGUCUGGGGAGAGCCCGCAGCUGCUCCUGGGUCUGGGGAGAGCCCGCAGCUGCUCCUGGGUCUGGGGAGAGCCCGCAGCUGCUCCUGGGUCUGGGGAGAGCCCGCAGCUGCUCCUGGGUCUGGGGAGAGCCCGCAGCUGCUCCUGGGUCUGGGGAGAGCCCGCAGCUGCUCCUGGGUCUGGGGAGAGCCCGCAGCUGCUCCUGGGUCUGGGGAGAGCCCGCAGCUGCUCCUGGGUCUGGGGAGAGCCCGCAGCUGCUCCUGGGUCUGGGGAGAACCCGCAGCUCCUCCUGGGUCCGGGGAAAACCCGCAGCUCGGGAAGCGCCUCCUGCACACAAGCAAGGACAGCUUUGCUCCGGGUACAGAUGUUCGUGUGCUUUUUAAUUCAUGGAGCUGGUGCAGUGAGAGCAGUUCAAGGCAGUCCUGCUGCACAUGCGAUCCUGUUAAUAAUCUUACUGUAUUCUCUCUAUAUUUAGGGACUGGAGCAUCUCUCCUAGGAGGACAGGCUGAGGGAGCUGGUCCUGCUCAGCCCCGAGAAGAGACGACUGAGAAGGGCCCUCAUCCCCGUGUGUCAGCGUCCAAAGGGAGGGGUCAGAGCAGGGACCAGGCUCUGCUCCGUGGGGCUCGGCAGUGGGACAGGAGGAACAGGCAGGAACUGAUGCCCAGGAAGUUCCACUCGAACACGAGGAAGAACUUUCAUGUGCACUGGACAGGCUGCCCACGGAGGGUGUGGUGUCUCCCUCCCUGGGGACAUUCCACAACAAUCCUGGACACAGUUCUGUGCCUGGAGCUCUGGGAUGGCUCUGUUUGA
Molecule: long non-coding RNA, 1239 nt
Filed under: Ficedula albicollis (Collared flycatcher)
Lineage: Eukaryota; Metazoa; Chordata; Aves; Passeriformes; Muscicapidae
Description: lncRNA (ENSFALG00000026381.1)
Source: RNAcentral